CACCGGGGAGCAGAGAUGAUCCGAGCCGCGUCGCUGCCGCUAUUCCUGCUGCUGCUGCUAGUGUCCUGGGCGCCCCGAGGGGAGGCAGCCCCCGACCAGGACGAGAUCCAGCGCCCCCUCGGACUGGCCAAGCAGCCGUCCUUCCGCCAGUACUCCGGCUACCUCAAAGGCUCUGGUUCCAAGUACCUCCACUAGUGGUUUGUGGAGUCCCAGAAGGAUUCGGAGGACAGCCUUGUGGUGCUUUGGCUCAAUGGGGGUCCCGGCUGCAGCUCCCUAGAUGGGCUCCUCACAGAGCAUGGCCCCUUCCUGGUCCAGCCAGAUGGUGUCACCCUGGAGUACAACCCCUAUUCUUGGAAUCUGAUUGCCAAUGUGUUAUACCUGGAGUCCCCAGCUGGGGUGGGCUUCUCCUAUUCCGAUGACAAGUUUUAUGCAACUAAUGACACUGAGGUCGCCCAGAGCAAUUUUGAGGCCCUUCAAGAUUUCUUCCACCUCUUUCCGGAGUACAAGAACAACAAACUUUUUCUGACCGGAGAGAGCUAUGCUGGCAUCUACAUCCCCACCCUGGCCGUGCUGGUCAUGCAGGACCCCAGCAUGAAUCUUCAGGGGCUGGCUGUGGGCAAUGGACUCUCCUCCCAUGAGCAGAAUGACAACUCCCUGGUCUACUUUGCCUACUACCAUGGCCUUCUGGGGAACAGGCUUUGGUCUUCUCUCCAGACCCACUGCUGCUCUCAAAACAAGUGUAACUUCUAUGACAACAAAGACCCGGAAUGGGUGACCAGUCUACAGGAAGUGGCCCGCAUCGUGGGCAGCUCUGGCCUCAACAUCUACAACCUCUAUGCCCCUUGUGCUGGAGGAGUGCCCAGCCAUUUUAGGUAUGAGAAGGACACUGUUGUGGUCCAGGAUUUGGGCAACAUCUUCACUCGCCUGCCACUCAAGCGGACGUGGCAUCAGGCAUUGCUGCGCUCAGGGGAUAAAGUGCGCAUGGACACCCCCUGCACCAACACGACAGCUACUUCCACCUACCUCAACAACCCGUACGUGCGGAAGGCCCUCCACAUCCCGGAACAGCUGCCGCAAUGGGACAUGUGCAACUUUCUGGUAAACUUACAGUACCGCCGUCUCUACCGAAGCAUGAACUCCCAGUAUCUGAAGCUGCUUAGCUCACAGAAAUACCAGAUCCUGAUAUAUAAUGGAGAUGUAGACAUGGCCUACAAUUUCAUUGGGGGAUGAGUAGUUUGUGGAUUCCCUCAACCAGAAGAUGGAGGUGCAGCGCCGGCCCUGGUUAGUGAAGUAUGGAGACAGCGGGGAACAGAUUGCGGGCUUCGUGAAGGAGUUCUCCCACAUCGCCUUUCUCACGAUCAAGGGCGCCGGCCACAUGGUUCCCACCGACAAGCCCCUCGCUGCCUUCACCAUGUUCUCCCGCUUCCUGAACAAGCAGCCAUACUGAGGACCACAGCAACCAGCUCCACGGCCUGAUGCAGCCCCUCCCAGCCACUCCUGCUGGGAGAGUCUUCUUCUAAGCAAAGUGCCCCUGCAGGCCAGGUUCGCCUUCAGGACUGCCCCCUUCCCACAGCCCUGUGCAUCCCAGACUGGGCCAGGGUCUCUCAUAGACAG
Molecule: RNA transcript, 1614 nt
Organism: Rhinopithecus roxellana (golden snub-nosed monkey)
Lineage: Eukaryota; Metazoa; Chordata; Mammalia; Primates; Cercopithecidae
Gene name: lysosomal protective protein pseudogene
Exons: 1
Source: RefSeq, a predicted model, not a curated record